RNAcentral lists this long non-coding RNA (879 nucleotides) under Mustela putorius furo (domestic ferret). Its description in RNAcentral is "lncRNA (ENSMPUG00000025390.1)". Lineage: Eukaryota; Metazoa; Chordata; Mammalia; Carnivora; Mustelidae. The record is from RNAcentral.
ACACACACAGGAGCAGACAAGAGUCCCCGCCAGGCCACAGCAACUUCCUUUCUCCCAGUCUGGAAAUGUCCGCAGUUGCCCUUAAGGCUUAAACUUUUUCAGAGGGAGCGCCAGGGAUCGCACAGCAAGCAUAUCGAGGCCUGGGGGUUCUGGGCAGGGUUGCUUCUCCCUUGGGGCUCUUGCCUUCCUCCCUCUCCCACACACUCCUCACCUGGUAAACCGAGGCACAGCAGAAGGCUGUAGUAGACCACGGGCACGAAGCCCAAGCCGCAGACCGAGCCGGGGGACCAGGACAACGAGCUGUUGGCUACGAGGUGGGCGUGCGUGUGCUCCAUGAGCUCGCCCCUCGCUCCCCUAGUCUCCGCGCCCGGCCUGCCAGCCCCGCUCUGGACGCCGGUUCGGUGGUGGCGGCGGCAGAGGCAGCAGCUGGAGCAGCAGCGCCUCUCUUCCCGCAGGACUUGCUCCUACCCUUUGCCGUGGUUCCCUCUGCUCCCUCCGCACCUGCUUGCCUGGAGUCCUGGCACGGCCCUUGUGUAGGGCACAGGGCGCUGGGCGCAGGGACUCGGGAGGGGCUCCCAGAGCUGGUCAGUGCGCCUCCCACCUCGGACCUGCUCGGCUCCCGCCUCGGAGACGGGAAGCUGGGACGCUGCUCCCUGCAGCCAAUCAGCAACUGCCUGGACGCCGAUGAUGGAACCCAGAUGCCAUGCUGUGAGAAGCUCAGGCUGCAUGGAGAAGACACAUGGGUAAGAAGUGAGGCAGUUUGCUUGAUGGUCCCACCCGAGCAUCCAGCUGACCUCAGCUGCUGGCCAGGUGAGUAAGCCAUCGAGGAUGUUCUGUACCAGUUGUGCUUCACAGAUAACUGUAUCCUCAGCCAUAUAG